This 68-nucleotide transfer RNA is filed under the name Cechenena minor. RNAcentral describes it as "tRNA-His". The record is from RNAcentral. Lineage: Eukaryota; Metazoa; Arthropoda; Insecta; Lepidoptera; Sphingidae.
AUUUAAAUAAUUUAAUUAAAAAUAUUGAUUUGUGGAGUCAAAUAUAUGAUAAAUAAUCAUUUUAAAUU